RNAcentral lists this ribosomal RNA (2124 nucleotides) under human gut metagenome. RNAcentral's name for it is "bacterial LSU rRNA". It matches the Rfam family "Bacterial large subunit ribosomal RNA", at positions 799 to 2925 of the family's 2925-position model. The record is from RNAcentral.
GGCGGAUGAGUUGUGGCUAGGGGUGAAAUUCCAAACGAACCCGGAGAUAGCUGGUUCUCCCCGAAAUAGCUUUAGGGCUAGCGUCGCAGGAAGUGCCAUGAAGGUAGAGCACUGAAUAUGUGAUGGCCUCAUCCCGAGGUACUGAGCAUAAUCAAACUCCGAAUGUCAUGGAGACGAUGAGCGGCAGUCAGACCAUGGGUGAUAAGGUCCAUGGUCAAGAGGGAAACAGCCCAGACCAUCAGCUAAGGUCCCCAAAUACAUGCUAAGUGGAAAAGGAUGUGGAGAUGUACAGACAACCAGGAGGUUGGCUCAGAAGCAGCCAUCCUUCAAAGAGUGCGUAACAGCUCACUGGUCGAAUGACUCUGCGCCGAAAAUUUACCGGGGCUAAGCAUAAUACCGAAGCUAUGGAUUUAUACGACAAGUAUAAGUGGUAGGGGAGCGUUCCUGUCAGCGAGGAAGCAUGACCGCAAGGACAUGUGGAGCGGCAGGAAGAGAGAAUGCCGGUGUGAGUAGCGGAACGUGGGUGAGAAUCCCACGCACCGAAAACCCAAGGUUUCCAGAGGAAGGUUCGUCCGCUCUGGGUAAGUCGGGACCUAAGGCGAGGCCGAGAGGCGUAGUCGAUGGACAACAGGUAGAGAUUCCUGUACUUACGGUAUGAAUGAAGGAGUGACGGAGAAGGCUAGGUGAUCCUGCGGCUGGAAGAGCAGGUGCAAGCGAGGUAGCAGAUAUCCAGGCAAAUCCGGAUAUCGGGAAAGCGAAGGCGUGAAGCGGAUGGAAAGCCAAGGCAAGUACAGAAGUCAUUGAAGCCAGCUUCCAAGAAAAGCUUCUAGUGAUAAUCAUACAGUAACCCGUACCGAAAAUGGACACACAUGGGUGAGGAGAGAAUCCUAAGGUGAGCGAGAGAACUAUAGCUAAGGAACUCUGCAAAAUGACUCCGUAACUUAGGGAGAAGGAGUGCUCAUAGAGAUAUGAGCCGCAGUGAAACGGCCCAAGCGACUGUUUACCAAAAACACAGCUCUAUGCUAAGUCGAAAGACGACGUAUAUGGGGUGACGCCUGCCCGGUGCUGGAAGGUUAAGAGGAUGUGUCAGCGCAAGCGAAGCAUUGAAUUGAAGCCCCAGUAAACGGCGGCCGUAACUAUAACGGUCCUAAGGUAGCGAAAUUCCUUGUCAGGUAAGUUCUGACCCGCACGAAAGGCGUAACGAUUUGGGCGCUGUCUCAGCUGUAGACUCGGUGAAGUCUUAGUACCUGUGAAGAUGCAGGUUACCCGCGACUAGACGGAAAGACCCCAUGGAGCUUUACUGUAGCUUGAUAUUGGACUUUGAUGCAGGAUGUACAGGAUAGGUAGGAGACUGAGAGACAUGCACGCCAGUGUGUGAGGAGUCAAUGUUGGGAUACUACUCUUCUUGUAUUGGAGUUCUAACCGGAUGCCAUGGAACUGGCAACGGGACAGUGUCAGGUGGGCAGUUUGACUGGGGCGGUCGCCUCCCAAAGAGUAACGGAGGCGCCCAAAGAUACCCUCAGCUUGGAUGGAAAUCAAGCGCAGAGUGCAAAGGCAAAAGGGUGUUUGACUGCGAGACCAACAAGUCGAGCAGGGACGAAAGUCGGGCUUAGUGAUCCGGCGGUGCUGAGUGGAAAGGCCGUCGCUCAACGGAUAAAAGCUACCCUGGGGAUAACAGGCUGAUCUCCCCCAAGAGUCCACAUCGACGGGGAGGUUUGGCACCUCGAUGUCGGCUCAUCGCAUCCUGGAGCUGAAGUCGGUUCCAAGGGUUGGGCUGUUCGCCCAUUAAAGCGGUACGCGAGCUGGGUUCAGAACGUCGUGAGACAGUUCGGUCCCUAUCUGUUGUGGGCGUUGGAGAUCUGAGGAGAGCUGUCCUUAGUACGAGAGGACCGGGAUGGACCUACCGCUGGUGCACCAGUUGUUCCGCCAGGAGCAUAGCUGGGUAGCUAAGUAGGGAAGGGAUAAGCGCUGAAAGCAUCUAAGCGCGAAGCCUACUCCAAGAUGAGAUCUCCCAUUCGUAUAACGAAGUAAGACCCCUUGAAGACGACGAGGUGGAUAGGUCAGAGAUGGAAGUGUAGCGAUACAUGGAGUUGACUGAUACUAAUAGGUCGAGGACUUAAUCAC